CCUACGGGUGGCAGCAGUGAGGAAUAUUGGUCAAUGGACGAGAGUCUGAACCAGCCAAGUAGCGUGAAGGAUGACUGCCCUAUGGGUUGUAAACUUCUUUUAUAUGGGAAUAAAAUGUUCCACGUGUGGGAUUUUGUAUGUACCAUAUGAAUAAGGAUCGGCUAACUCCGUGCCAGCAGCCGCGGUAAUACGGAGGAUCCGAGCGUUAUCCGGAUUUAUUGGGUUUAAAGGGAGCGUAGGUGGAUUGUUAAGUCAGUUGUGAAAGUUUGCGGCUCAACCGUAAAAUUGCAGUUGAUACUGGCAGUCUUGAGUACAGUAGAGGUAGGCGGAAUGCGUGGUGUAGCGGUGAAAUGCUUAGAGAUCACGAAGAACUCCGAUUGCGAAGGCAGUUCACUGGACUGCAACUGACACUGAGGCUCGAAAGUGUGGGUAUCAAACAGGAUUAGAUACCCGAGUAGUC
This 460-nucleotide ribosomal RNA is filed under the name uncultured bacterium. RNAcentral describes it as "partial 16S ribosomal RNA". It matches the Rfam family "Bacterial small subunit ribosomal RNA", at positions 338 to 795 of the family's 1533-position model. The record is from RNAcentral.